CUCUUCCUCUUCGUAUUCUCUUCUUCCUGACUUGAAUCUUCUUCCUAUUAUCGCUCCCCAUUCCAGAACCAUCUCAGUUUGAUCAUGUGUAGCUCCAAAUCAAUCUGAUUUCAUCUUUUUUCCUUAUCUAAUUUUGUAUUUUUGGCUCUGCAGGUACAAAGAUUUGAUUGUGCAUCGCCACUCAAGAUCGACGGUGUUUUACUCGCACCCGAUGAAUCGUCGAUGGCUAUGUGGAUUGUGUAUUAGGAGUUUCUGCGUCGCCAUGAACCCAUAAUCUUUGGCUCCGUUCUUUCUCCGGUCAUUGGAUUCACAUGGGAUUCUGCCCCCAGACUGUGUUGGUUGGUCACAGAAAUAUUGAUUUCGGGCUCUCUCUCUCUCUCUCUCUCUCUCUCUCUCUCUCUCUCUCUGAAUAGGAUGGUACUCCCUCCGUCCCCAAAAACAUGUCGCGAGUGGAUAUUUGCAAUUUAGUCCUCCAUGUUUUCCCGACCGAACCCGAGGUCCCUCUUCUUCCUCGCUCUCGCUCUCACUCUCUCCCGGCCGAACCCGACGACGGGCGCCGCCUUGCCGCCCCUCUCCGCCACCGCUCCUCCCGCCCCACGCCGCCCCCGGCGCCCCUCUCCGCCACCGCUCCUCCCGCCCCACGCCGCCCCCACUGCCACCACCCCUCCCGCCUCACGCCCCACGCUGCCUCGUUCCCUGCCUCGUUCCCCAACGUGAAGCACGCAUUUUUUUGUCGAUCCUCCUGCCGUUCCUGUCCGACGACCAUGUGUUUACCUCACCGGGGCACGGCAGCGGGGCGCCCUCCUUUCUCGCAUUCCUGGCGCGGCGGCUGCUCGGCGGAUUGCAAAGAGGCAGGUGGAGGAGCUCACCAAGUAGCCCGCCGGAGUCAAAGGCAUUCGAGGAUAGGGACAAGCCGGCGGCGCAGCCAGUGACUGGAGCGGCGGCGCGAGCUCUGUCUCCGGGGAGAAGCCGAUGGGCGACGUCAGCGAGCUCGUCUCCAUGCGUUAACCCCUCUGUGCGUUGCGGGGUGGGGAGCCAACUCCGUGAGCUCGUCUUCGUGCGGCUACCGGGGGUUUGCCCCUCAGCUCGCCGCAAACUCUAUUUCCGGGGAGAAGCGGCGUCGGCGACUCCGUGAGGGCGGCCGCCGGCGCAAGCCCAGGUCGAUUUUCGGCGGCUUCGCUCAAGGCCAACGAUUGGGCGCGUGUGGUGGCAGUUCGAGGAGUGGCGACAUCUUCUGGUGGAUUGCUGUGUGUGCUUUGGUCUGAAAGUUUGUGAUUGGAAGGAGUGGCAACAUCUUCAGGUGGAAGGAGUGGCAGUUCAAGGACAUCUUCAACAGUGGUCUGAAUUGAUUCAGGAAAUACUUUGGCAUGGUAUAGUUUGACCAGCCACAGGACCAAAUCAGUUAACCUACUCCCUUUAGUUUGCAUCAAGGUUUGGAGACCAAUGAAUCCUAAAAACUGUGAGGUUUUGGUCUGCCAUGUCCCCAUAACAGAGCAAGAUGAAGAUAAAGAGCUUUAUAAAUUCCCAUUGACUGACUGAAUUAUACUCUGAUCAUAAUUGACACUUGCUGGCUGAAUUAUACUCUGAUCAUAAUUGACACUUGACAGUUUACACUCCACAUCCACUCCAUACCUUUCCCUGGAGUACAGUUUACACUUGACAGUGUUUGUUCAGAUCAUAAUUGCUCUGCUGAUAUCUACUGAUUUUUUUCAGUUAACACUAAUCAUAUUCAGUUAACAUUGUUCUUCCUGAUGAACAGGAGCAGAGCAGCAACUCCUUACAGUACACUGAUCAUAUUCAGCACAGGGAGCAGAGGAGCAACUCCUUACGGUACCUUCUUUCUUCUGACGAGCAGGAGCUCUGGCGGCAGCACCGGCAGACGAGCAGCAGCAGUACUAGUAGACGAGCAGAAGCUGUACGGGCAGAGGAGCUCCACCGGCGGUAGGGGAGAAGCAGCCGCACGGGCGCGCGGGCAGAGGAGAAGGAGUUGCACGGGCUCGCGCAGGAGAUUGAGGAGGACGCGCGGGAGAUCGAGGAGGCAGCGCGCGAGCUCCUGGUCCACCGGAUCGUGGAGGCAAUUUCCGGCGACGCCCGUAGGGGAUCGCAGCCGGGAGGAAUUGCGGCGGCGCACACACGGGAGCUCGAGGAGGAUGCGCUGGAGCUUGAGGAGGAUGCGCUGGAGCUCGAGGUGGACGCCCGCGAGCUCGAGGAGGACGUGGCCGGAGGUCCCGACGACGCCCGCAGGUAAUCGAGGCGGGAGGGGAUCGCGGUGACGCAGGUCUGAGCGGGGGAGGCGGCGGAGCAGGUACUUGGCGACGGCGGCGGAGCACUUCCUGAUGGGCGGCGAUGACGACGACGGCGGUAGCUGGGCGGCGCCGGCCGUAUCGACGACGGAGGAAGAAGACAGGGGCGGAGGGGCUUCUUUCAGACGAUUUUAAAAUUACGAGGGCUUUUUUGCAAAAUUACCCAUGAACUGUGCCCACGACAUGUUUUUCGGGGCGGAGGGAGUAUAUUUAUAUUCACAUAAUAUUGAUAUCUGAAUUAUUACAUAACCUUGUACCUGAUGUACACGAUUUUUUUAAAGGAACGAUUUCGACGAA
Triticum aestivum (bread wheat) is the source of this 2600-nucleotide long non-coding RNA. RefSeq lists it as uncharacterized. NCBI's taxonomy places the organism in Eukaryota, Viridiplantae, Streptophyta, Magnoliopsida, Poales, Poaceae. The record is from RefSeq and is a predicted model, not a curated record. The transcript has 5 exons.